Molecule: ribosomal RNA, 301 nt
Filed under: uncultured bacterium
Lineage: Bacteria
Description: partial 16S ribosomal RNA
Rfam family: Bacterial small subunit ribosomal RNA
Source: RNAcentral
CAGUAGCCACGGUAAAACGGAGGAUCCGAGCGUUAUCCGGAAUUAUUGGGUUUAAAGGGUGCGUAGGCGGAUAGAUAAGUCAGUGGUGAAAGACGGUGGCUCAACCAUCGCAGUGCCGUUGAUACUGUUUAUCUUGAAUAUGGAUGAGGUAGGCGGAAUGUGGCAAGUAGCGGUGAAAUGCAUAGAUAUGCCACAGAACACCGAUUGCGAAGGCAGCUUACCAAGGCAAAAUUGACGCUGAGGCACGAAAGCGUGGGGAUCGAACAGGAUUAGAUACCCCUGUAGUCCCUGUCUCUUAUAU